Long non-coding RNA from Leptopilina boulardi, 3951 nucleotides. RefSeq lists it as uncharacterized. The record is from RefSeq and is a predicted model, not a curated record. The transcript has 2 exons. Lineage: Eukaryota; Metazoa; Arthropoda; Insecta; Hymenoptera; Figitidae.
CAACGUAUUGACGUUGCAUUGUUAUUAUGAAUAUUGUUUUCUUGUUUAUAUCUGUUCAAAAAAAGAAAAAAUUAUGAAAUUUAUUAGAUUUUUCAAAUAGUUAAUUAAUUAUUUCUUUACUUAACGAAAAUGUGAAACUUAACAUCAGUAUUGUAACUAAAAGAAGCAAAAUCGAUUGAGUUCAGUUGUUAUAUUUCUCGAAACUGCUUGAAAGUUGGCCAAAUGCUCUAAUUUGGCACUUCACUUUUGAAAUAACGACUAAAUUAGGCCAUUGAAUUUUCAUGAAAUUACGCUAUACACCAAGCUUUGACAAAAAUUAUGAGAAUUGUUUUCAAUGAGACUUGAAAUUCAUAUACACGAGGUAUUAUUAAGCUUUGUUUAAAAGCUGAAUUUUUUUUUUAUUUUUACAAAACUAAUUUAAUUAAACAUUUGAUAAAUUUAAUUAAAAUUCGUUGGAAACUAUUUUAAAUAUAUUUCGUUUUAAAAUCGAAAACUCGUAUGUCAAGUUGUUAAAAUUCAAGCAUCUUAACGUUGUUUUUUUUAAUUUUAUUUUAACAUUAAGUUUUAUUCGAUCUACUUAUUUAGUUUAAUAUGAAAAGGGUUGCGAAGCUCUCUCUCGUUAUCCACAAAUGAACAUCUGGGUCAAUAAGAGCUGUAGGAGAUGAAAGAUUUUUUUUUUGUGGGAUGAGCUUGAUGUCGCUACAACGCAGAAACAGAUUCUUGAUAAUUUCUUUGUUCUAUUUUUAUAAAAUAUUUUAAUAAUUUGUACAUUAAACUUAUCAAGAUAUUUCCGACAAUAUUGGAAAAUAAUGUUUGGUUUUAUCAUGUUCUUCCAAAGAUUUUGGGUUUUUAAGAAAAAGAGAACAUACUUAAUUAAUUAAUUAAUUUUUAAAUUUAAUUAAAUUUUUCUUCUAAAUACAAAUAAUGAUAAAAGGACUAAUGAAACACGUGGAUUUUCUACAAGAGGUGUUAAUUUUAUUUAUGGUUUUUUUUCUGGGGUGUAUACAUAAGGAAUACAGUAUUACAGUAGAUCUUAUGAAUAAUUUUAUUUUAUUAAGGAUGAUCGGAGGUAAGGUCUUUAAUUUAAUAUUCGUGCAACGCUAAAUGAAAAUUAAAUGCUUUCAGUGCGAAAUGACUAUUAUUUAACAAAAACGAUGACAAUGAAGCGUUUGAUUUGAUUUUCUCUUUUUGCUACAGUAUCGAUAAGAAUGAUUCAUGAAUUCGAAAAAGGUUAUCAUAUAUUUCUUUUCUUUUUGUCAAAAACGAGACUUUCCUCUUCUUUUUCUUCUUAUAUAUCUUUAUUUUUAUAUUUAUUUUUUUAAAGAAAUAACACAUUUUAUUUCUUUCUAAUUAGGUGUUAUUUUUUUUUAAUUUAAAGAAUGUAUUUUAACAUCCUUUAGGGAAUAUCUAUUAUCUAUAAUAGAAAUGAUAAUUCAUUAUUAAUUGAUUCAACAUGUUGAUGAUACAAUUAAUUUUUAAUAUUGCAUUUCAUUUUCAUCUUUUAUAAAUAGUUCUAAAGAAUUAUUAACAAUUUUCAAAUUUUCGUAGGAACGAAAUUUUGAAUUUUCAAAUUAAUUCAAAUUUUUGUUGAGCUUAAAUAUAGUCAUUUUUAUUUAUUUUAAAUGACAUUUCCUUUAUCAAUUUUUAACAAUAAACUUCUUUGUUUAGUUGAAAAUUAAGAGUUAUUAACAAAGAUUCAUUUAUUUUAAAUUAGGAAAAUAAUUAAAUUUUUAAUUUAAAAAUUUAAUUAAAAUAUAUCUUAAUUAGGAAUAAAUGAUUAAUUUUGAAUAACUAGUAAUUUAAAUAAAAUGUAUAAAAAGUGGUUAAAUACCAUUUUUUUAGAGAAGAUAUUUGAGAUAAUUUCAUAAUAUUUCUAAAAUUUAAUAAGAAAUUUGUUUUUAAUUUUGAGCACCAGCUCAUUUUUUUUAUGAAUUAUCUCUAUAUGUUAUUUUUUAAAUAUUUUCCAACUUUCACUUCAAAACAAUGUUAAUAUUCUACACUUACAUAUCUCAUCACAACAAUUUUUUUUUGAGUUUGAUUUCAUGAGAACGGUUACGUACAAUGUGCAACUGUUAUAAAAUAAAAAAUUAUCUUCUUCACUUUCACAGUUCUUUUUCAAUUUUUUUUUUUCAUAACACAUUUAUUUCUCUUAUAAUACUUCUUAUAUUCAUUUUUCGAUAAUUUGCACCAUGAACUUUGUUUAAUGACGUGCAAAUAAAUGUUAUGUUUUCGCUGGAAAGAAAAAAUAUUAAAAAAAAAAAGAAAAUUAAUUUUUGGAGCAAUAUCAAAUUAACUAGGAAUCUCAUUGAGUUUAGUUAAAAAAAUGUUUCGCAUUUAGUUUUAUUUCUUAAAUUCUAAAUUUUUGCUUGAGAUUCCUUUUUUAGUUGACAAGAGAAAGACAAAAGUGUGAUUUAUGAAUAAUACGAAAAGCUUUCUUUGAAAAAUUGAAGACAUUGUAAAAAACGGCAGUAAUUGGCACACUCGUGUGUUUAAUAUGUGGUGUUUAUAUGUAAGGCAAUAAACCUUUGGGUUUUUUUUUUGUUUAAUAUUUAUAUAUAUGUAUAAGUGUAAAAAAGAUUUAUGUUUUUCAGGAAUGUGGAAAUAUUUUUUGUUAUAAAGAAGACAUAUUCUGUGUGCAUCACCGUCGAAAAGGAAGCCAAGAACCGAGAAAAAAAAAUAUAUAUCUAUAUUAUAUAGGAUAAGAAUAAAAUUUCUCUCAAUCGGAAAGGAAAACAUUUUUGUUUUUAACUGCCAUGAUUUUAUCGAAUAAUCUGACUUUUUUUUUAAUUACUUUGAGCUUCUACGGUUAUUCGAGAUGAGGGGGGAGGGGGGGGGGAAAUUCAAAGAGAAGAGAAGGAUCGGACAACUUUGGAAUUAAUUUUUUUUUUUCAUUUGUGUCACAGCCAAGACUGGUGUCGCAAAACCUGUUUUUUUUGUGUGUAUGUGGUAUUCUAUCAAAAUAGACAUAUCACUCGCGAAUCCCGAGUCUUCUCUUUAAGUUUCAAGAGACUAUAUUCUCACGGCUUGGAGAGAUUUAAUACGAUUGAAAAAAUAGCUUUAAACCAUUGCUAAAUACUAUACAAAUCUGACAAACUCGUCAAUUUCAAUUCUCCGUUUAUUUUUUAUUUAUUUAUUUUUUUUAAUACUUACAUAACAACUCUCGACUUUCUCGAAUCUAGUCAUGCAUAUAUAUUUUUUUUAAUUGUUUAUUUGUGUGACUUGCGAGAAUAUUCAUUGAAUCGAGACGUCGUUCAGAUAAUAAUCUUUGCGCGAUAUAAUAUCCUAUAUUUUCUGUCUUCGCUUAUACUUUCCAACGCUACAGCACCUACGAUCUCUUUUUUUUUUUUUAAUUAUAAAUAAUUUCUAUCGGAAGAAAAUAGGUGAAUAUUUUGGAAAUAUAAUAUUUUUCUUUUUUUUUUUUGUACGGGUGAAAUCAUUUCGAAUCGUUUUUCUUCAAAAGGGACGACCUAAUCAAGAACUUUUAUUUUAAACAGAAUGUCCUAUCUAUAAAAAGAUUAUAUUUUUAAAAUAUAAUUUUUUUUCGAAUAUUUGGAAAUUUUUUUGUUAAUAUGGAACGGGGGAAAAAAAGUUCGUGAAUAGAAAGGACUAACCUUUUGAAGAGUUCCUCUAUACGAUCUUCACGAAAUGAUUAAAAAUUGUCUCUUUCUACUUGCAAACUAUAUAAUGUUUGGCGAUAAAGAAAAUUUUUCUGACGACCCUGUUUUAUUUUUCUCGUUUAAAGGUGCAAUUAGAAUUUUUGUUUUUCUUAUUAGCAAGCACUCAUGGUUGAUUUAUCUACACUGAAUAGAGAAAGAGAGAGAUAGAGGGAGAGAGAGAGAGAGAAAGAGUGAGUGAGAGAAUUUUUGAGAGUCCAAUGCACUACAAGAAGGAUACUAUCAUCUUGAUCCUGUCACCUGAAAAUUGUUUUUGGAAGUUCAGUGGACGGUGAAG